Molecule: long non-coding RNA, 285 nt
Organism: Mastomys coucha (southern multimammate mouse)
Lineage: Eukaryota; Metazoa; Chordata; Mammalia; Rodentia; Muridae
Exons: 3
Source: RefSeq, a predicted model, not a curated record
CUGCAGAUUCCUGACAGGCGACCCUUUCCAACAAAGGACACCGACACAAACAGUUUCUAAAGGAAACAGUAAAUGUGGGUGACACCUGUUCUUGGCUAAUGAAAUGGCAAUUUCAAGUGGAGAUAGAAUCAUCUUUGCAUGACCCAUCUGUCCAAGUCACAAAAUUAAAAAUGACAUCUACCCAUGGCCAGCGCUGCAGAGUGACUUCCGGCUAUCAACCUGGGUGCUUGUUGAAGGAGUGAGAGGCCAGUGCUGAGGCCUUGCACACGCAGUCACCGGGGACUC